RNAcentral lists this transfer RNA (76 nucleotides) under Acidobacteriota bacterium. RNAcentral describes it as "tRNA-Thr". It matches the Rfam family "tRNA". Rfam says of the family: Transfer RNA (tRNA) molecules are approximately 80 nucleotides in length. Lineage: Bacteria; Pseudomonadati; Acidobacteriota. RNAcentral also lists the same sequence under 5 other names. The record is from RNAcentral.
GCCGGCGUAGCUCAGUUGGUAGAGCAACUGAUUUGUAAUCAGUAGGUCGGGGGUUCAAGUCCCUUCGCCGGCUCCA